This 212-nucleotide small RNA is filed under the name Bos taurus (domestic cattle). The record is from RNAcentral. Lineage: Eukaryota; Metazoa; Chordata; Mammalia; Artiodactyla; Bovidae.
AGCGGAAUUCGUGAGACCCUCUACUCCACAGCCUCUGCAGCAAUUACAUUGUAGACAUUUUAAUCAUGGCCAAUCUGACCAGUGUGAAAUGAUACCUCAAUGUGGUUUUGAUUUGCACUUCUUUUAUGAUGAGUGAUGCUGAGCAGCUUUUCUGUGUCUCUUAGUAAUCUGUAUAGAUUCUUUGGUUUGUUUUUCUGAGCGGAAUUCGUGAG